Molecule: ribosomal RNA, 2082 nt
Filed under: Triticum aestivum (bread wheat)
Lineage: Eukaryota; Viridiplantae; Streptophyta; Magnoliopsida; Poales; Poaceae
Description: partial small subunit ribosomal RNA
Source: RNAcentral
CCUGCUGGUGUAGGUUCUUGGCCGGGUGCUCGCGGGAACGCGGAGGAGGUUACCGCGGGGCCCGCGACGACGCGGCGGUGGAGGGGCGCGCUGCGGGGAGGUGGAGCUCGUCCGGCCUCCGCCGCGGCUGCCCAGGUCGAGGCGGCGCCGCCCCCAGCUGGCCUUCCCGCUCCCCUGCGACGGCGGGUUCCAGUAGGGAAGAGGAGGCUCGAGGCGCUGCCGAGCUGGGGUUCGACCACAGGUCCGCCGGCAGCUGUUCCUCUUGUGCGCUACCCCUGUCGUCAAGUUGAGCGACGCGCGCCUUCCCCGCUACACAUCCUUCCUUGUCCUCUUUGAUAGUGUUCAUUUCUGACACCCUUUCCACUCUGGGUUCGUCCUGUUUGAAAAGAGUUUUUUCCCGCGGUUCGACCUGUUUGAUGACGAUCAUUUCCCCUUUAGCCGGGGCUCAGCCGAAUUCUCGUUCUUAAAAACAUCUUUUCCUUCCCCUUAUACCGGCCUUGUACACUUCGUGGUCUGUGAAGCGUAUAGACUUCAGUCUUCCGUGUUAUUCGAAUGAAGACUGCUCCGCUUGGUAGAACUACGAAUAAGUCUUACAUCUGGCCACUAACCUCUACCCCUCACAAAGAUGUCCUCGAAGUAUAAAAGCAUGGAACUCGUUCAAUAACUAUCCGUCCUGUGUGUACUCCUUGCGGCAGAGGAAUCUUCUCACAGAUGUGUUGCACGUUUAGAAGUUACCUUGAGACUCAAAAGGGCCUCGUCUUCUCUCUACGUGUUAACGAAUUGUCAUCACCGUAUGGCAGUGUCAAAAUGUGUUACAACCGUGUUUGAGUUUAAACUUCGAAUAACACUUCGAUUGUUGGGCUAACAUUGUUACUGGAAUUCUCUUUAAAUGAACGUUUCCUUGUUGCCGUUAUAUUGUCCCUUUAUUGUAUUAAAAUACGAACAAACUCGUGACGUUGUUACGUGUGGACGACCAAUAAUAACAUAUCAGUGGAGUGGUAAGAGCAAGACAAUGAUACGAUAUCAUAUACGAAUUACUGACUUCGAAGAGUCCCUCGACAGAAUCGACACAAGGAAAUAUAGAACGUUAACUAGUUAUAACACGUACAUAAUAACAUUGGAUACCAUACAUUACUAAUAGUUGACACUUAUUAACUCAACGACUAAGAAAGUCCGUAAAUUCCUCGACUAACUCUUGCAUUACUUUACCUUCUCUUGCCUUAGUUGAUCGUCAGCGGCAUUUCUCUUUGAAGACUUCAAGAAGUCGUGCAUACUAUACUGCGUUCUGUAAAAACAAAAGGAGUCUAAUGAUCAUCGAUAGGUCUAUACGAGCGUGUCCCUCCACAUACUUGGCUAAUAUGUUCCCGGGCCUCCUUUAAUGUCAGACCUUCAAACCACGAACGUCAUGCAGUAAGGUCGAGCACACAUGCGCCUGGUACAAUACUACCACCGAAACCGGUCUCGCGAACUCCAGGGGGAGUCUCACCUUAGUGAGGUUGCUCCUAUACGAGGUCUAUAGAUGUGACCAGGACCUCAAGGGGCAGGCUCGCACUGGGAGGACAUGUGUCCACUAGUGAUGCUGUAGUAGAUGGGUGCGCGAGGAAGACGACUCCAAAGUUCAGUGGCCCGAAGGGUCUCUCUUGUAGGACCACCAGUCUUAAGUUCAGUAUUCCGAAGGGUCUCUUUUGUAGGACCACUAGUCUCAAGUUCAGUUGUCUGAAAGAUCUCUCACCAGUCUCAAGUUCAGUAGUCCGAAGGGUCUCUUUUGUAGGACCACUAGUCUCAAGUUCAGUUGUCUGAAAGAUCUCUCUUGUAGGACGACUAGUCUCAAGUUCAGUUGUCUAAGGCGACCUAAUUUCAACUCAACCCGACAACGUCAACUUACUCUCAUAACGACUCAAAUCACCAUCUCAUCUACGUGGCUACUUCAACCCCAUCCAUAUGGUAUACCAAUGAACACGUAAGAAGAAGACAACCGUAAGACACUAGUGUAAGCUUAAAGAAUUAACACAAAAGCUUUAAACUUGUACCCGUACUAUAGCCAACUAAAAAACCCAUACAAUACCUUCUGUGUUUAUAACG